GGGCGCGUAGCUCAGCGGCAGAGCACACCCUUCACACGGGUGGGGUCGUAGGUUCAAUCCCUACCGCGCCCACCA
RNAcentral lists this transfer RNA (75 nucleotides) under Roseiterribacter gracilis. Its description in RNAcentral is "tRNA-Val". It matches the Rfam family "tRNA". Rfam says of the family: Transfer RNA (tRNA) molecules are approximately 80 nucleotides in length. Their secondary structure includes four short double-helical elements and three loops (D, anti-codon, and T loops). Lineage: Bacteria; Pseudomonadati; Pseudomonadota; Alphaproteobacteria; Rhodospirillales; Roseiterribacteraceae. The record is from RNAcentral.